CACAGCGAAUUGGUUCUGCCGUUCGCGUCCCCCACCCUCUCUGCUCGACAGCGCCCCCGCACAUCGCGCCGCCGCGAAAUCUCGCCCACCUCUCCCCGCUCUUACCCCCCGCCGCGAGAUCCACCCCGCCGUCACCCCCCCCCCCCCCCCCCCCCGCGCUCGCACGUAGGCCCGCCUCUCCCUGCCGUGAUCUCAUCGCGCCGCCCCGUCGAACCGCCGCGGCCACGAGAUCCACCCCGCCGUCCCGCCCCUCCAAGCCGCAGUCUCCUCUUCUAGCAACCCGCCUGGUCGUCGACGCUGCCUGCGUCGUCCGUGUCAUCGUUGCCCCGCCGCCGACAUCCUGGCCAUACUCGUGUGCACGAGGGCCAUGGCGCGGAGUACGCCGGCCCCUUUAGGGGCUCGGAAGCCGUGUUUGGCCACGGUGCAAAGUCGCCACCCGCCUGGCCGUCGACGCAGAGGCCGCGUGGGGCUAUCGGUCGCCGGAGCCCAUGGUGCUGGUUCGUUCUGGCGACGGCGACAACGUCCACUACAUGCUUGCUGUCAUCCGCGUCUUGGUUGCCACGACGUGGACAUCCUAGCCAUACUCGCACACGCGUUGGCUGCCAGUGUCGAUCGCUUCAUUAUAAGAAAAGGUGUACUUCCUCGCCUUCUAGAGGAGAUAUUGUCAACAAGAAUUAUGGUGAAACAAGCAAUGAAAAAAUUGAGUCCAUCACAGCAAGUUCUUCACAGGAUAUUCAAUGCACGGCAGCUUGCUUUGAAGCUGAUAGCUAAUGUCACAUAUAGUUACACAGCUGCUGGAUUCAGUGGUCGAAUGCCUUGUGCAGAGCUUGCAGACAGCAUUAUUCAGUGUGGCCGUAGAACACUCGAAACAACAAUAUCAUUUGUCAACCAGCAUCUUUUGUGGAAAGCUAGGGUUGUGUAUGGUGAUACUGACAGGACUUACCAACUAACCGUAUGAAAAUAUGAUGAUAAAUCUCUACGGUUGAUCACUGACGCUUCAGUAAGUUAUCCAAUUUCAAAAGAGAAGUCUCAAGGUUUGGACCCCAAUAUGCGAGACACGAGCGCUGCUGACUUAGAGGCUGGUGCUCCCACCUUGAAAACUGAUCUCAAAGGGAGAACACAGCAGAAAAAACUGUUAGUCAAGGAGAACUUCGAUUGUUUUGUCUCGUGCAAAACUACAAUAGAUGACAUUGAGUCGAAAUUGAGACAGAUAGAGGAAGAUCCUGAAGGUGCAGGAUAGUUCUUGUGCAAAAGAAUUACAAAAAGAUGGGACUUCAAAUUUAAAUUUUGAAUUGGAACUUGACUCCUUAAGUUCUGAAAAUCUUGAAAGAGAGAUGUCGUCAUUGAAAAGGCAAAGUAUGUACAAAAGAAAACUUGAUUCUUCAGUCUCCCAGCACAAAAGUUGUUUGAAGAUAAGUUCAUUCAAGGAUUUGAAGGAGGUGAUUCUUCAGUACAAGAAAUUUGUAUCCUCCUUUUCUUGACAGAAUCUAUGACAUAAUAACAUCUCAGGCAUGCAUGGCAAUGAGGCACAAUCAGGAUUGAGAACGGAUGGGCUACAAAGUUCUUUGAAGAUGCUGCUAGAGGUAGAGCGCCCACACUUAUGUUCAUGACUUUUGUUGAUAAUUUCCCAGCUUGUCGACAGUUAGAGGCUCUCCCAUUCUUGGAUCCACUGAAGCAUUUUAGAGGUGCUCUAUUCUACUAUCAAAGAUCUGAAAGACCACAUCGAUGAGUUCAUCCAUGCCUCCAUGGACGAGCACAAGACCUGCUUUAAGAAGACGAUCCAGAAGAUGUUUGGGAUGUCGAAGGCUAUUGCAGAGAGAUCCGCGGCAGAAGCGAAGGAAGCUGGAGUUGAAAGUGCUUUGCCACUUCAGACCAGUGUCUCGCAGUAGAAUUUCACGUUG
Zea mays is the source of this 1901-nucleotide long non-coding RNA. RefSeq annotates it as exocyst complex component SEC5A. NCBI's taxonomy places the organism in Eukaryota, Viridiplantae, Streptophyta, Magnoliopsida, Poales, Poaceae. The transcript has 13 exons. The record is from RefSeq and is a predicted model, not a curated record.